Pan troglodytes (chimpanzee) is the source of this 117-nucleotide non-coding RNA. It matches the Rfam family "Metazoan signal recognition particle RNA". Rfam says of the family: The signal recognition particle (SRP) is a universally conserved ribonucleoprotein. It is involved in the co-translational targeting of proteins to membranes. The eukaryotic SRP consists of a 300-nucleotide 7S RNA and six proteins: SRPs 72, 68, 54, 19, 14, and 9. NCBI's taxonomy places the organism in Eukaryota, Metazoa, Chordata, Mammalia, Primates, Hominidae. The record is from Rfam.
GCUGGGCAUGGUGGCUCAUGCCUGUAAUCCCAGCACUUUGGGAGGCUGAGGCAGGUGAAUCACUUGAGGUCAGGAGUUCAAGACCAGCCUGACCAACAUGGUGAAACCCCGUCUCUA